UAACUUCACUGGCCACUCCUCAGAUGGCUGUUAGAGAUCCUUCCUGGGUCAUGGCUGCCUAAAAUGCAUCCAAACAUUCAGUGUCUCCUCCCUCUGCAUGCAGACACUGAAUUUUCCUCAUAUAGAUUCAUUGAUUCAAUUCAUCUCUAUGAGGAGAUGCUGAUUGGCCAGGGCUGUCUUUGAAUUGUGCUGGCUCUGCCCCUGAUCUGCC
This is a non-coding RNA of Pelobates cultripes (western spadefoot toad), 211 nucleotides long. The record is from the annotation of a GenBank genome assembly. Lineage: Eukaryota; Metazoa; Chordata; Amphibia; Anura; Pelobatidae.